GAAGUCGUAACAAGGUUUCCGUAGGUGAACCUGCGGAAGGA
This 41-nucleotide ribosomal RNA is filed under the name Isochrysis galbana. Its description in RNAcentral is "partial 18S ribosomal RNA". The record is from RNAcentral. Lineage: Eukaryota; Haptophyta; Isochrysidales; Isochrysidaceae. RNAcentral also lists the same sequence under 6 other names.